CUACGGGGUGCUGCAGUGGGGAAUAUUGGACAAUGGGGGAAACCCUGAUCCAGCAAUGCCGCGUGUGUGAAGAAGGCCUGCGGGUUGUAAAGCACUUUCGGUUGGGAGGACUGCUUCUAGCACUAAUAUUGUUGGAAGUUGACGUUACCUUCAGAAGAAGCACCGGCUAACUCCGUGACCAGCAGCCGCGGUAAUACGGAGGGUGCAAGCGUUAAUCGGAAUUACUGGGCGUAAAGCGCGCGUAGGCGGCUAGAUCAGUCGGGUGUGAAAGCCCCGGGCUUAACCUGGGAACUGCAUCCGAUACUGUCUAGCUUGAGUACAGGAGAGGAGAGUGGAAUUCCACAUGUAGCGGUGAAAUGCGUAGAUAUGUGGAGGAACACCAAUGGCGAAGGCAGCCCUCUGGCCUGAUACUGACGCUGAGGUGCGAAAGUGUGGGGAGCAAACAGGAUUAGAUACCCCUGUAGUC
This 466-nucleotide ribosomal RNA is filed under the name uncultured bacterium. RNAcentral's name for it is "partial 16S ribosomal RNA". It matches the Rfam family "Bacterial small subunit ribosomal RNA", at positions 339 to 795 of the family's 1533-position model. The record is from RNAcentral.